This 405-nucleotide ribosomal RNA is filed under the name uncultured bacterium. RNAcentral's name for it is "partial 16S ribosomal RNA". It matches the Rfam family "Bacterial small subunit ribosomal RNA", at positions 30 to 526 of the family's 1533-position model. The record is from RNAcentral.
AUUGAACGCUGGCGGCAGGCCUAACACAUGCAAGUCGAGCGCGCGGCGGACGGGUGAGUAAUGUAUGGGGCUCUGCCCUAUAGAGGGGGAAACCUCCUGGAAACGGUGGCUAAUACCGCAUACUUUCGACUUAUCCCAUAUGGGAUUAGCUAGUAGGUGGGGUAAAGGCCACCUAGGCGACGAUCUCUAGCUGGUCUGAGAGGAUGAUCAGCCACACUGGGACUGAGACACGGCCCAGACUCCUACGGGAGGCAGCAGUGGGGAAUAUUGCGCAAUGGGCGCAACCCUGACGCAGCCAUGCCGCGUGAAUGAAGAAGGUCUUCGGGUUGUAAAGUUCUUUCGGUAGCGAGGCGUUAACUACAGAAGAAGCACCGGCUAACUCCGUGCCAGCAGCCGCGGUAAUUC